AUACAUUCUCUCUCAUGGCAGGGAGUGCUGAAAGUUACGCCUUUGGAUAUAGAUGAGUGAGACCUAUAAGGAAGCUUUUUGGAGCUCAAACCCUGUAAAAUCCC
This 104-nucleotide small RNA is filed under the name Helicobacter suis HS5. RNAcentral's name for it is "Heliobacter pylori small RNA HPnc0580". It matches the Rfam family "Heliobacter pylori small RNA HPnc0580". The record is from Rfam by way of RNAcentral. Lineage: Bacteria; Pseudomonadati; Campylobacterota; Epsilonproteobacteria; Campylobacterales; Helicobacteraceae.